CCUGGCGGCGUAGCGCGGUGGUCCCACCUGACCCAUGCCGAACUCAGAAGUGAAACGCCGUAGCGCCGAUGGUAGUGUGGGGUCUCCCCAUGCGAGAGUAGGGAACUGCCAGGC
This 114-nucleotide ribosomal RNA is filed under the name Escherichia coli. Lineage: Bacteria; Pseudomonadati; Pseudomonadota; Gammaproteobacteria; Enterobacterales; Enterobacteriaceae. The record is from RNAcentral.